RNAcentral lists this ribosomal RNA (435 nucleotides) under uncultured bacterium. Its description in RNAcentral is "partial 16S ribosomal RNA". It matches the Rfam family "Bacterial small subunit ribosomal RNA", at positions 29 to 507 of the family's 1533-position model. The record is from RNAcentral.
AGCGAACGCUGGCGGCAGGCUUAACACAUGCAAGUCGAGCGGGCAUCUUCGGAUGUCAGCGGCAGACGGGUGAGUAACACGUGGGAACGUACCCUUCGGUUCGGAACAACUCUGGGAAACUGGAGCUAAUACCGGAUACGCCCUGAUGGGGAAAGGUUUACUGCCGAAGGAUCGGCCCGCGUCUGAUUAGCUAGUUGGUGGGGUAACGGCCUACCAAGGCGACGAUCAGUAGCUGGUCUGAGAGGAUGAUCAGCCACACUGGGACUGAGACACGGCCCAGACUCCUACGGGAGGCAGCAGUGGGGAAUAUUGGACAAUGGGCGCAAGCCUGAUCCAGCCAUGCCGCGUGAGUGAUGAAGGCCUUAGGGUUGUAAAGCUCUUUUGUCCGGGACGAUAAUGACGGUACCGGAAGAAUAAGCCCCGGCUAACUUCGUG